ACUCCUACGGGAGGCAGCAGUGAGGAAUAUUGGACAAUGGGCGAAAGCCUGAUCCAGCAAUGCCGCGUGAGUGAUGAAGGCCUUAGGGUUGUAAAGCUCUUUUACCCGGGAAGAUAAUGACUGUACCGGGAGAAUAAGCCCCGGCUAACUCUGUGCCAGCAGCCGCGGUAAU
RNAcentral lists this ribosomal RNA (172 nucleotides) under uncultured bacterium. RNAcentral describes it as "partial 16S ribosomal RNA". It matches the Rfam family "Bacterial small subunit ribosomal RNA", at positions 335 to 524 of the family's 1533-position model. The record is from RNAcentral.